Molecule: long non-coding RNA, 2098 nt
Organism: Mya arenaria
Lineage: Eukaryota; Metazoa; Mollusca; Bivalvia; Myida; Myidae
Exons: 2
Source: RefSeq, a predicted model, not a curated record
UCUAUAUUUUACCUCAAAUCAUGGAUAAAUUUAGAACCCUUUUGCACACAUGUACAUUUAUUGGACUGCGUAUCGAUAAGAGAUAGCAUAUUUUGCAUCCAACAUUGUUAGAUGUGUCAUCAUUUUGGGUUAUCUUCUUAAAUGCUUGAUAAGCUCAGGAGUAUAAAUAUAAAUAAUUAUUAAACUGACUGAAUUUUUUUAGUAUGGUGAUAGGGUUGUACUUUGUCUAGAGACAGACAAAUAAACUUAAUUUAGGACCAACAUUUCCUUUAAAAAGUCUGUUUUUUCAUUUUGUAAUUAAGCACUAAAACCACUUGCAAAAAUAUGUGAGAUUCUAACUCUGUACAUAUUAUUUUGAAGCCAAAUGAAUAAAUAUUAAUAUCAUUUUACUUCAUUUUCUAAUUUUCAAAUAUGCAUUAUAUUUUCAGAGGGUAAAGUGCAAGAGUUUGAGGUUAUUCCACUUAAGUCCGAAGACUUGGUAGAUACCAACGGGGCAGGCGACGCAUUUGUUGGAGGAUUCCUCUCCCAGUUAAUUCAGGACAAGCCCCUGGCUGAUUGUGUUCGUUGUGGAAACUACGCGGCAAACCUUGUUAUCCAGCGGUCAGGUUGCACUGUCCCGGACAAACCAGAGUUCAAGUAACCAUCGGAUGUUGUAGCCACUGGACAUGUCUUUAAGUUGUGCAUAUCAGUGUUAAACCAUGCAAGGGUAAUAGAAGGGCAUUCUUAUAGAUGAUGCUUUAACUUGGGACAUAAAUAUGAAGAUACUGUUUAUCUUCACAACAGCCUGGGCCUGCAUAUAUAUCAGGGUUGUAUAUAUAUCAUUUGACCUGCUACAAAACCAAAUCUAAUGUAGUAAGCCAUGACUUAGUGUCUGGUAGCAGAAUGUGCAAGUUUUUCCAUUCAUGUCAUUGAAUAAUGUAUUUCAUUUCAUUGCUAUGCCUAUUAAUGAAAUAUCUAUUUUUUUCUUUAAUGCAUUUAAAGAAUAGAAAUAACAAGCAAGAAAAGCAAUCAGUUUAUUUAUAUAAAGAAAUCAGAAAUUAUCAUGUAUUUUUUUAUAAAUGCAUUUACCCUUUUAUACACUUUUUAGAGAAACAGAAAAGCAAUCAUUUUAAUAAUAUAAAGAAAUUAGAAAACAUAUAUUUUUGUGAAUCGAUUAACCUUUUCAGAUAAUUUUUAAAGAAACUAAUUAAGGAUGUGUUUUUUAAAGAUAGUCAUUAAUGGAAUAGGUGUAUUUACAUUCACUUUUCUUAGAUUAGAAUUAAAUGAAAGUAAAUUACUGAUUAAAAUUGAGAAUUGAGAAUACUGUCUCAGUAAAUGCAAUAACUAGAGAAAAAGAAAUGUCAGACUUUCCAGACUUUGAAUAAUUUGUUUGUAAGAUUUUCUAGACUUUGAAUAAUUUUGUAAGUUAGAUUUUGCAGAUAAAACAAUUCUGUAAGGCAGGCUUUCAAUAAGUUUGAACCUUUUUGUAAGUGGGGGAGUGUUUGAACAGUUUUGUUAGGCAGACUUUUCAGAUUGUGAAACGUUUUGUAUGUCAGGCUUUCUAAAUUAUGAAAAGUUUUGUUUAUCACACUUUCACCAAAUUUAAACUGUUUUGUAAGUCAGACUUUACAGAUUAUGAAACAUUUUGUUUGUUCGACUUUCUCCAGGUUUUAAACUGUUUUGUUAUGUGACGUUCAAGAUCAUGAAAAUUUUUGUAAGUCAGACUUUCCAAAUUAUGAAAAGUUUUGUAAGUCAGACUUUCCAGAUUAUGAAAAGUUUUGUAAGUCAGACUUUCCAGAUUAUGAAAAGUUUUGUAAGUCAGACUUUCCAGAUUAUGAAAAGUUUUGUAAGUCAGACAUUCCAGAUUAUGAAAAGUUUUGUAAGUCAGACUUUCCAGAUUUUGACUGUUCUAUGAAUUUUGUAUUGUCUUUUCCUGGUGUCAAAUUGAUAAUUAUUUAGAAAUGAGACAAACCCAUUUUGACUGUAAAAUAGGCAGGCAGAAUUAAAUUGUACAAUUAUCUUCAUGUACCAACUACCAGUAAUCGGCUACAUGUAGUUUGAUGGAAACUAUCAUUACAUGUACUUAUUUGGUCUAUGCAAUAAACGGAAAAAAAUCAUA